This 481-nucleotide ribosomal RNA is filed under the name uncultured bacterium. RNAcentral's name for it is "partial 16S ribosomal RNA". It matches the Rfam family "Bacterial small subunit ribosomal RNA", at positions 28 to 507 of the family's 1533-position model. The record is from RNAcentral.
GACGAACGCUGGCGGCGUGCUUAACACAUGCAAGUCGAACGGAAAGGCCUGCUUUCCCUUGUGGAUUGCGGGUACUCGAGUGGCGAACGGGUGAGUAACACGUGAGUGAUCUGCCCCCAACUUGGGUAUAAGCCUGGGAAACUGGGUCUAAUUCCCGAUAGGACUGCAGGGUGGUGCCUGUGGUGGAAAACGAUUUUCUAGUGGUUGGGGAUGAGGUCGCGGCCUAUCAGCUUGUUGGUGGGGUAAUGGCCUACCAAGGCGGCGACGGGUAGCCGGCCUGAGAGGGCGAGGGGCAAGAUUGGGACGGAGAUACGGCCCAGACUGCGACGGGAGGCAGCAGUGGGGAUGAUGGCAGAAUGGGCGGAAGCCUGAGGCAGGACCGACGCUGGCGUGAUGAGGGACGUAGGGUUGUAAACCGCUUAAAGCAGGGGCGAAGCUGGUGGUGACGGUACGUGAAGAAGAAGCACCGGCUAACUCCGUG